Molecule: long non-coding RNA, 903 nt
Organism: Esox lucius (northern pike)
Lineage: Eukaryota; Metazoa; Chordata; Actinopteri; Esociformes; Esocidae
Source: Ensembl
CGCACCUUUGCUCACGUGGAUGCUGUUAUUAUUAACCCUUCGAUUCCCUAACACGUAAGAAGCGCCUAGCCUAGUCUACCACACCUGUGGAGCACCUUCAGGAUGACAAGGGCCUUUCUGGAAAUUAUCAAUGUGGUAUCAUCUUCGGUCCUGAAAAGAAGCCUAUAAGCCGACGUUUAAGCCUUUGUGGCUUUUCAGUGGAGCAGAGGCCCUUAAGAUACCUUGAACCAGGCCGACAACCUCUGUGUCUGUGUCGAUGGCACUGCGUUCUGUGGCUGAUGUGACGCUGCAUUCUGGAAACAGGGCGUUUCCUUUGGCAUUGGGAUGGCAUAUUUUUUAAAUCAAGGCCUUUGCUUUAUUUUAAGGGGUCUCCUGGCAGUCUGCCAGAAUAUGUCCACUUCUUCUUCCCCAAUGGCUGCACAAGAUCGUGACUUUUUGCACAGCUGUUCUCUUUGCGGGUCUUAGCUAUUGAAAAAACUCAAGGGCAGCAGCCACCAUUUUAUGAUGCAGUAGACGGGCAAGGUGUCUGCAAAUUAGAAAUGUAUCAGGACAACUAGUAUUCAACUAGUAUUAGAAGUAGUUAUCAGGACAACUACUAUUUAAAUGGUAUAUAUGGAAAUGAACCAUGUUUAACCGUCAGUGAGUGAACCUAUUCAGGGUUACUCCCCCAACUUACAUUUCUUUUUUGUAGUCUUUAUUAAAAUAGUUAAUACAUUUGUAAUAAGCCGUGUGGAAAUGCAUUGAAAAGGGUAACAAUUUACUUAUUGGGCUGCUCCAAAGGUUUCCUGUCAUAAUCUCCAUCAAAUGUUAUGUCAUUUUUUUAGUUUUAUGGUCAACUUUCCCCAUAAAUUGCAGUAUAUUAUUUAACAUUUGACCGCGAUUAUCUUAUGAUUCCAAAUCAAG